Molecule: ribosomal RNA, 253 nt
Filed under: uncultured bacterium
Lineage: Bacteria
Description: partial 16S ribosomal RNA
Rfam family: Bacterial small subunit ribosomal RNA
Source: RNAcentral
UACGUAGGGUGCGAGCGUUAUUCGGAAUUACUGGGCGUAAAGCGUGCGCAGGCGGUUCGCUGUGUCCUGUGUGAAAGCCCCGGGCUUAACCUGGGAAUGGCAUGGUAAACUGGCGGGCUGGAGUGUGGCAGAGGGGGGUGGAAUUCCGCGUGUAGCAGUGAAAUGCGUAGAGAUGCGGAGGAACACCGAUGGCGAAGGCAGCCCCCUGGGCUAACACUGACGCUCAGGCACGAAAGCGUGGGGAGCAAACAGG